AGUCUGGUGCCAGCAGCCGCGGUAAUUCCAGCUCCAAUAGCGUAUAUUAAAGUUGUUGCAGUUAAAAAGCUCGUAGUUGGAUCUCAGGAUUUGGAUGGAUGGUUCGCUUUCGGGCGCUACUAUCUGUCUGACCUACUCUAGUCGUGGAUGCCUUGGGUGCUCUUAAUUGAGUGCUUUUGGUGCCCGACGCAAUUACUUUGAAAAAAUUAGAGUGCUCAAAGCAGGCGUAUUGCCUGAAUAGUGUUGCAUGGAAUAAUGAAAUAGGAGUUUACUUCUAUUUUGUUGGUUUUCGGAGGUGAACUAAUGAUUAACAGGGACAGACGGGGGCAUUUGUAUGGAGGGGUUAGAGGUGAAAUUCUUGGUUCCUCUCCAGACAAACUACUGCGAAAGCAUUUGCCAGGAAUGUUUUCACUAAUCAAGAACGAAAGUCAGAGGUUCGAAGACGAUCAGAUACCGUCCUAGUUCUGACCAUAAAUGAUGCCAUCUAACAAUCCACGAAGUUUGCUUGUACGAACUCGUGGGCGGUCCCCGGGAAACCAAAGAUUUUGGGUUCCGGGGGAAGUAUGGUUGCAAAGCUGAAACUUAAAGGAAUUGACGGAAGGGCACCACCAGGAGUGGAGCCUGCGGCUUAAUUUGACCCAACACGGGAAACCUCACCCGGCCCGGACACUUUUAGGAUUGACAGACUGAAGGCUCUUUCUUGAUCAAGUGGUUGGUGGUGCAUGGCCGUUCUUAGUUGGUGGAGCGAUUUGUCUGGUUAAUUCCGAUAACGAACGAGACUCUACUCUGCUAAAUAGAACGUUGAUAUAUAAAAGUCAGUGCUGACUUCUUAGAGAGACUAACGGCGUUUAGCCGUGUGAGAAAGAGCAAUAACAGGUCUGUGAUGCCCUUAGAUGUCCGGGGCCGCACGCGCGCUACACUGACUGCAGCAACUAGUAUGCUCCUGGUUUGAAAAAACUGGGUAACCUGGUUGAAUUGCAGGCGUGACAGGGAUCAGAGUUUGCAAUUAUCCUCUGUGAACGAGGAAUUCCCAGUAAGCGCAAGUCAUUAGCUUGUGCUGAUUACGUCCCUGCCCUUUGUACACACCGCCCGUCGCUACUACCGAUUGAAUGGUUUAGUGAGGUCUUCGGAUUGGUGCUGGUGGAGUGGUUCUCUGCUCUGUUAGUGCCGAGAAGAUGAUCAAACUUGAUCAUUUAGAGGAAGUAAAAGUCGUAACAAGGU
RNAcentral lists this ribosomal RNA (1221 nucleotides) under metagenome. RNAcentral describes it as "SSU rRNA". It matches the Rfam family "Eukaryotic small subunit ribosomal RNA", at positions 558 to 1800 of the family's 1831-position model. The record is from RNAcentral.